This 519-nucleotide ribosomal RNA is filed under the name uncultured eukaryote. RNAcentral describes it as "SSU rRNA". It matches the Rfam family "Eukaryotic small subunit ribosomal RNA", at positions 1161 to 1699 of the family's 1831-position model. The record is from RNAcentral.
AGGGCACCACCAGGAGUGGAGCCUGCGGCUUAAUUUGACUCAACACGGGAAAACUCACCCGGCCCGGACACUGGAAGGAUUGACAGAUUGAGAGCUCUUUCUUGAUUCAGUGGGUGGUGGUGCAUGGCCGUUCUUAGUUGGUGGAGUGAUUUGUCUGGUUAAUUCCGAUAACGAACGAGACUCUAGCCUACUAAAUAGAUCGUCGGCUUACAAACGCCGACGAGACUUCUUAGAGGGACAGGCGGUGAUUCAACCGCACGAAACAGAGCAAUAACAGGUCUGUGAUGCCCUUAGAUGUCCGGGGCCGCACGCGCGCUACACUGAAGUGAUCAGCGUGCUUUUUCAACCUACUCUGUCAAGAGUGGGGAACCCAAUGAACCUUCUUCGUGAUUGGGAUAGGGGAUUGUAAUUAUUCCCCUUGAACGAGGAAUUCCCAGUAAGCGCGAGUCAUAAGCUCGCGUUGAUUACGUCCCUGCCCUUUGUACACACCGCCCGUCGCUACUACCGAUUGAAUGUUUU